Long non-coding RNA from Pan troglodytes (chimpanzee), 492 nucleotides. RefSeq lists it as uncharacterized. NCBI's taxonomy places the organism in Eukaryota, Metazoa, Chordata, Mammalia, Primates, Hominidae. The transcript is spliced from 3 exons. The record is from RefSeq and is a predicted model, not a curated record.
AGGCAGCCAAGUAGCAACAUAUUUCUGAGUUGCAAUUCCUUGCCUCCACUGUGAGACAAACCCCAGCCACAUCUCCAGCACACAAGAACUUCCAAACGCCUAAACCGCAGUGGCCAGGCAUUCCUCCAGAACUGCCUCCCCCAGGAGCUUGCUACAAGUGCCAGAAAUCUGGCCACCAGGCCAAGGAAUGCCCGCAGCCCAGGAUUCCUCCUAAGCCGUGUCCCAUCUGUGCAAGACCCCACUGGAAAUCGGACUGUUCAACUCACCUGGUAGCCACUCCCAGAGCCCCUGGAACUCUGGCCCAAGGCUCUCUGACUGACUCCUUCCCAGAUCUUCUCAGCUUAGCAGCUGAAGACUGAUGCUGCCCGAUCGCCUUGGAAGCCCUGUAGACCAUCACAGAUGCCGAGUUUUAGGUUUUCUUACAAUCUCUGUGGAAACUAUUUCAUCUGCAAACUGAGUUUGUGUUCUGGGCAUGCUGGCCACUUCUGGUGA